GAGAGGGAGUCCUGACAGUUAUGGCUGAAUCCCACCUGAUGCUUCAUGGAGCCGCUCUGGAUCAGAGAGCUGGACGGAGCAGCGGACUGAUGCCCUGCAGCUGCAGGCGGACCGGAGUGGCUGACUCACUGGUUUCAGGGAAAAGAAGCGGCGCUGAUGUCAUCCUGACGGGCAGAGCGGUCCGGUGAACGCAGCGGGAUGGCGUCAGGUCCCAGACGCAUCACUCUCAGCUGACGGAGGUGCCAGGUGAUGUCAGCGCGGGAUGAAGCACCGGCCCCGGCUCAGCACUCUGGAGCUGCUUCACCCAAAUCGCAGCAGAACACAGAACGACGCUUGUAAAUGUGCGAUGAAGCUGUUACAGGAUCCUGUCACUUCACAACCACAAACGUCAAUAUAUGGAUCAGAUGUUGGCAUUUUAUGUGACAGACCAACACUGAGUAGAUUUUUUUUAGGCCGUAUUCAUAUUAAACCCACUUUACAGUAGCAGCAUUUUCAUUGACCAUAUCAUUGCACAAUUUGACAUUUCGAAAAAUAAAUUUGCUUAAUGGAAUCGAGCCUAUUUAGGAAAAACCCUUGUUUCCAAAAAAAUGUUUUGCCACUUGGAUGAGGUCGUUUUUCAGCCAUAUCAACAUUAGUUUAUUUCGUAAAAGUGAAAAAGAAACACUUUUUUGCAUCACACGAGUCACAUGAUCAACAACUGGAUGUUACUACUGCAGGAAACAGCAAAGAAGACAGGAAGCAGUGAUCCUCCAGAUCACGGCGCAGAAGGUUUUUAAUUACUUAAUGUCUGAACAAUCUUAUUUUUGUGUGAUUUUAAUUACAUUUCUUACUUAAUGGAAAUUAUAACAUAACAAAAUAUGAAAAAGUUUGAGUGUCAGUAUGUUUGCUACACACUGUAAUUAAUUCAAUUACAUCAUUUCCCAUUUU
Long non-coding RNA from Xiphophorus hellerii (green swordtail), 927 nucleotides. RefSeq lists it as uncharacterized. Lineage: Eukaryota; Metazoa; Chordata; Actinopteri; Cyprinodontiformes; Poeciliidae. The record is from RefSeq and is a predicted model, not a curated record. The transcript has 2 exons.